Molecule: transfer RNA, 69 nt
Filed under: Chalcophaps indica
Lineage: Eukaryota; Metazoa; Chordata; Aves; Columbiformes; Columbidae
Description: tRNA-His
Rfam family: tRNA
About the family: Transfer RNA (tRNA) molecules are approximately 80 nucleotides in length. Their secondary structure includes four short double-helical elements and three loops (D, anti-codon, and T loops).
Source: RNAcentral
GCAAGUAUAGUUUAACCCAAACAUUAGACUGUGAUCCUAAAAAUAGAAGUUUGACCCUUCUUACCUGCC